UCUAAAGCAGCUCUGCUAGCAUCAGGGCUAAUACUUUCAUUUCUUCAAACAAUGGUGACAUUUUUGUCUUGCUGAAGGUAAAUAAUCAGACAUUUGGAGGUGCCGAGUGUGAGAGUGUGUUUUAUAAUAAUAUCACCCAUGAGGAUAUGGAGUAGGCUCUGCAUCUAUCUCAUGAAGCUUGGUGGUGGAGAAGAGAUUGUUUAGGACAAUUCUCUAGAACACAGGCAUUGGUUUUGUUUAGCUUUUGCCUAGGGAAAACUCUACAUUGAGUUUUAAAGAUCCAGCCUCUUCCAAAUCUUCCCCCACACCCACAAUCAGACUGAAGCACAAAGAUAUUCUUACCUCUCUGUAUCAUUUUGUCAAUCCCAUUUUAGAGAGAAUCAAUGAUAGUCGCAGAAAAGCAGAGAUUUAGCCUUUGUCUCUCCAUUUGUUUCUUAAAAUAAAAACACCUUGAGUGUCAACAAGGUUUUUACUGAAAACAUUUAACUACUUUCAGCCACUAAUAAAAGAGAACAACAUUGAUUUCUCAGAAUACUGUACAAAGAUUAGCAUGGCACAUAUAUUUGGCUUUGUUGAUCAUCUGUACUAUAAUUACUGCUUUAAAAUAUGCUGUUUUAAAUAAGCCACAAUAAAUGAGGGCAUAGUUCCAGACACCAGGAAGAAAUCUACCAAACUAAAUAAAAUCUGUUUGCUUUUUUAAACAGUCUAAUAUGAAACUAAUUUUUUUUAACCACAUAUCUCAAGGAAAGCAGUAAAAGUGUGGACUUGCAACUCUUAAUUCAAGUUUUGCAUUCUACAGACACCCAGUCUGCCCUCUGUGACUUGUGCAAUAGCUAUUUCUCUGGGGAUUAACACUGUUAUUCCCACUCACCUGAACAAUGUCAUAACAAUGAUGGUAUGUUCCUGAAUUAGCUAGAACCUUGGAAAGAUGGAUGAGAAAUCGCAUUUUCUAGCCACAGUAGCUUACCAGAAAUAUAAAAGUUCAAAAAAAUCACUUAAAAAUGUAUUCUAAUACCAUAUGCAUCUCUCUUUUUUUUUAAGAGACUGGGUCUCGCUCUGUCAUCCAGGCUGCCUUGAACUCCUGGGCUCAAGUGGCAGUCAUCUUGCCUUUAAGGGUUAUCUUCCAUUUAAUAUUUCUAGCCCUUUGUUUUCUCUAGUCACUUUAAAGGGAAAGUGAACUUUCCUAAAGUGUCUAUGUACUCACCUUUUCUUCAUUCUGAAGGAAAAAAACUCAAUGAAAAUGACGUUCACUGCCUUUUUCUUAUCACCUAAGUCUCACUGGAAAUCAGAAUGAACCUUUCUUCCUUUCCCUGGUCUUAUCUAGGUGGAUUGGAUGUCUUUAGAAGGAACCUGACUUAAUUCUGUCUUUGAUAACUACCAUGCUUAUACCUGAGCUUAACAAUCACAAGGAUAGUGAUGAUCCAUCCACCUGCAUGGGAAGUAAUG
This 1446-nucleotide long non-coding RNA is filed under the name Macaca fascicularis (crab-eating macaque). RNAcentral describes it as "lncRNA (ENSMFAG00000048928.1)". Lineage: Eukaryota; Metazoa; Chordata; Mammalia; Primates; Cercopithecidae. The record is from RNAcentral.